RNAcentral lists this ribosomal RNA (249 nucleotides) under uncultured Acidimicrobiales bacterium. RNAcentral describes it as "partial 16S ribosomal RNA". It matches the Rfam family "Bacterial small subunit ribosomal RNA", at positions 355 to 621 of the family's 1533-position model. The record is from RNAcentral. Lineage: Bacteria; Bacillati; Actinomycetota; Acidimicrobiia; Acidimicrobiales.
UGGGGAAUCUUGCACAAUGGGCGAAAGCCUGAUGCAGCAACGCCGCGUGCGGGAUGAAGGCCCUAGGGUUGUAAACCGCUUUCAGUAGGGAAGAAAAUGACGGUACCUACAGAAGAAGGUGCGGCCAACUACGUGCCAGCAGCCGCGGUGACACGUAGGCACCAAGCGUUAUCCGGAUUUAUUGGGCGUAAAGAGCUCGUAGGCGGUUCGGUAAGUCGGGUGUAAAAACUCUGGGCUCAACCCAGAGAG